AGUCCACAUCAACGGGGAGGGUUGGCCCCUCGAUUUCGGCACAUCACAUCCUGGGGCUGUAGUAGGUCCCAAGGGUUGGGCUGUUCGCCCAUUAAAGUGGUACGCGAGCUGGGUUCAGAACGUCGUGAGACAGUUCGGUCCCUAUCCGUCGCAGGCGUAGGAAAUUUGAGAAGACCUGUCCUUAGUACGAGAGGACCGGGAUGGACGUACCUCUGGUGUACCAGUUGUCCUGCCAAGGGCAUGGCUGGGUAGCUAGGUACGGAAUGGAUAAGCGCUGAAAGCAUCUAAGCGCGAAGCCAACUUCAAGAUAAGAUUUCCCACCGCAAGGGUAAGACCCCAGAAAGACUAUCUGGUUGAUAGGUCGAAGGUGUAAGUGCAGCAAUGUAUUUAGCUUAUCGAUACUAAUAGGUCGAGGACUUGACCA
RNAcentral lists this ribosomal RNA (424 nucleotides) under Clostridioides difficile. Its description in RNAcentral is "bacterial LSU rRNA". It matches the Rfam family "Bacterial large subunit ribosomal RNA", at positions 2497 to 2925 of the family's 2925-position model. The record is from RNAcentral. Lineage: Bacteria; Bacillati; Bacillota; Clostridia; Peptostreptococcales; Peptostreptococcaceae.